RNAcentral lists this ribosomal RNA (433 nucleotides) under uncultured bacterium. RNAcentral describes it as "partial 16S ribosomal RNA". It matches the Rfam family "Bacterial small subunit ribosomal RNA", at positions 29 to 507 of the family's 1533-position model. The record is from RNAcentral.
AACGAACGCUGGCGGCAUGCCUAACACAUGCAAGUCGAACGAGACCUUCGGGUCUAGUGGCGCCCGGGUUCGUAACGCGUGGGAACCUGCCCUUAGGUUCGGAAUAACUCCCCGACAGGGGUGAUAAUACCGGAUAAUGUCUUCGGACCGAAGAUUUAUCGCCUUUGGUUGGGCCCUCGUUGGAUUAGCUAGUUGGUAGGGUAAAAGCCUACCACGGCGCGCAUCCAUAGCUGGUCUGAGAGAAUGAUCAGCAACACUGGGACUGAGACACGGCCCAGACUCCUACGCGAGGCAGCAGUGGCGAAUAUUGGACAAUGGGCGGAAGCCUGAUGCAGCACUGCUGCGUGAGUGAUGAAGGUAGUAGGGUUGAAAAGCGCAUUUACCCGGGAUGAUAAUGACAGUACCGGGAGAAUAAGCCCCGGCUAACUACGUA